Oncorhynchus mykiss (rainbow trout) is the source of this 2729-nucleotide non-coding RNA. Lineage: Eukaryota; Metazoa; Chordata; Actinopteri; Salmoniformes; Salmonidae. The record is from RefSeq and is a predicted model, not a curated record.
ACCAGGCUUGCAGACGCUUGUGAAAAGUACUAGCUACAAAAUUGGCAAAAUUGCCUGCUACUGUAUACAUAGCGCGUGUGUGUGUAUGUUGCUAACCUAGCUAGUUAGCUAGCCAUCAAUAAAGUUCCUAAUGUUACAACAUGGCAGACGGCUGGAGCACCGAUACCGGAGAGGCUGCCUAUCGUUCCCGGGAUGCUGUCAAAAACCUUACAAUUAAGAUCCGUAUUCAGAGAGUCACCUCCACAGCAGCCCUCUCCCAACACCUUCAGCAGCAGGUUUGGACUCAACAGGAGAGGGGAGGCAUUGAGCUGGACACCCUCAACUCAGGCUCAAUCAGGUGUUAACACUGUUUUGAAACAGCAAGAUGAUGUUAGAUGUUUUGAAACAGAAAUAUGUAAGAUGCUUCUUAGUUGAGUAGAUGUAAUUUUCGUGGUGGCUAGAUAUGGACCACAACAGCUUGGUUUUGUUUUCAGCCAUAAAUUAUGAUGAGGAGUUAGUGGUAGGCUGGCAGGAGAAGCUGUUCAGUCAGUGUCCUUAUAACAAAUAAGCAUUUACUGUUUAGGAUAGUUUGAUGUUGCAUAGUAAGGUGUGUGUGUGUGUGCACAAUAUGAAGUGGUUUUGUUCCAGAGUGAGUCAGUAUGCCAGACUCCGCUGGAGAGACAAUACCACACAGAGAUCAUGGCUCAGGAGCGUACCAGGGGCAGAUGGAACUGCAGGAUUUUCACCUACACUGAUUCUGACUGCUACACCAAUUGGGAAGGGGUGGCUUUCAACAGAAUCUCCAUUUCUGUAACGGUUCUGUAACCAAAGACUCUGGGAGACGGGAAGCAAGUAUAGGGGGAGGAUUUAUUAAUAAAUAGACAUGAAACUAAAGACGAACAGAGUCUGGACAAGAGAAACAAAACAACAUCGAUGCAGACAUGGGAAUGAAACUGAGGAAGUGACAGAUAUAGGGGAGGUAAUCAAUGACGUGAUUGAGUCCGAUGAAGCGCUGGUGCGUGUAAAAAUGGUAACAGGUGUGAGUAAUGAUGAGCAGCCUGGCGACCUCGAGCGUCAGAGAGAGGGAGCUGGAGCAGACGUGACAAUUUCAUUAUUCAAAACAAAGCAUUUACCUAUUUUCUGUCCAAAAGAAACGUUAGUGUUUUAAAGCUGUUUUUGAUAUAUUCACUACAGCAUUCCCAGAGUAUGGUGACGCAGGUCAAGUCCAAUCCUACCUUACUGGCACAUAGGAUGGCCAAUGUCAGACACAGACGACAGGACAGACGCCCAGUGUAGGUCCCUGUUACUCACCAAAGUGAAUUAUUAUUAAAGUGAAUGUAAUUGAAGCAGCAUUGAUGCGUCGUGCUGUUUUGAAGACAAACAGUGUACCGGUAUGUUCACAUUACACCAUACCCUUGUAUGCAAAAUGUGUUUGUGAUAUUCUGUUGGUCUGCAGUGACCGCACCAUCCCCAAGUCCAGGCUGAUUACCUGGGACCCCUCGGAGGACUUUGUGAAGACCAGCCACAUGGUCAACACACCUGUACAGACCAUGCACAUCAUGGGGAACCUGGGACCAGCGGGCAAACUUGGCUAAAAGGAGAAGGAAUGCUUGUCUGCAUGAUAAGAGCAGAUGGAAAUGGAGUGGUUACCAUCAAACCAGACUUCAACAAAGGCAAGGAGCCCUACAGGCCAGUGACCCGCACCCGCUGAAGUCAAAAUGUUUUACCCCUAGCUCAAGUUGAGACGGAGGGGGAGAAGAGGGAGGUGUGGCGUCAGACCAGAGGAGACGGAACAGCAACAGUGCAUAUAUAGACCAUUAUGUACGUCAUAAAGACUACCUCAACAGCUUGGUUGGCCAGGACUGAAAUGAUAUCAGCAAUCAAUCAACAAGACUAAUGAAAUGGGGCAAAUGAAGACAUUAGAACUGCUAAAGUUUCCCCUAGAUACAGAUCUAGGAUCAGCUUCCCCUCCCCAAACCUAACAAGGACCAUUCGCGGGGGGAAUUCAAAUCUGAUCCAAAGCCAGGGUCUAUUUGGGGAACUUGUCCCCUCCCCCACAACACGACAGGUGGAUGCGGCUUCCUCAGUUCACCAUGCUCAUAAAGAAAACAGCAGUGUAUUUCAGCUGACUGGCAGAGACGGUGCUAGAAGGGAAGGUUUGAUUUGGAGAGACAGUUGUUGCUGUCAUAGGCAAGCCUGAGAAAGAACUGAGAAAACGUAAUAAAGAGUCAAGACAGACACCAGAAAGAGGCCCAAGAAGACUUGGAUGCAGGAACAGAGGACAGCGAGGGAUGUUCAGAACUCACUCAGUCCGGUUUGGAGAAUGACUUCUCAACCCAAGACUAAGAGCAGCUGUGAGAAAGCAUCAGUUUGGAAGCAUUUGGGAAAAUGUAAAGUGCUAAAGAAGGUUCCUGGCAAAGAGGAUUGACUGUUAUGGGUCAGAGCCAGCUCUCACAAACAGAACAUGGAAAGACAUGAAAACCUGGUGCACAACAAAAUGCAAACAGAAAAGGCUCUCCGCAGCCGGUAAAAGGCUAGCAUGCCACGAAGAUGAAGUUCACACAGGUGAAUGGAAGAGUUGUUUCCUCCGACACAUUGGUGUGGCUGGCUUCCGGGUUAAGCGGGCAUUGUGUCAGGAAGCAGUGCAGCUUGUCAGGGUCGUGUUUCGUGGAGGACGCAUGGCUCUCUACCUUCGCCUCUCCCGAGUCCGUAGGGAGUUGCAGCAAUGAGACAAGACUGUAACUACCAAU